Molecule: ribosomal RNA, 1799 nt
Filed under: Triticum aestivum (bread wheat)
Lineage: Eukaryota; Viridiplantae; Streptophyta; Magnoliopsida; Poales; Poaceae
Description: partial small subunit ribosomal RNA
Source: RNAcentral
CACCAUCACACAGUAACUCGUUGAUUUUUUCCCAUCCCCUUUCUCCUUACCUCCAUUGACUCCAAAAUAGCAACCACGGAUGAGGUUCGACUGGUAGCGCUGGUACAUCUGAAGCUCCGCUUCUUGAGCAUGCAAGCAGCUGACUCACUGGUAGCGCUGGUACAUCUGAAGCUCCGCUUCUUGAGCACGCAAGCAGCUGACUCGCCUAUGCUGGCCCAGGCUAACCAUGUACGGCGGCUGAUUUUGGUCCUCGUACGGCUCCAUGGUCUCGUAGGCUGGUAAACUGCGAUGCUAGCAGCAGCAGGUGCCCAAGGUUGGAUCCGACUCGAGUUUGAGGCUGUUGGCAACUCUUCUUCCCCAAACGCACCGGACGCAUCGUCGUUAUUCCCAGUCGAGGCUGCCCGGCACUUCGUCGUCAUCGUCCACAGCGGCAACACUCUUCCAAGUUCGAAGUUUGACCUGUAGGUCCCUAUUUUCUAUUUCCUUUUUUGAGGGACUAUUUUCUAUUUCCUGAGUGUCAUAUUUAACUUUUUUCUUUUACAUUUUCCUGUUUUUAAGCGAUUGAAUUAGUUUAAUUAAGGAAAUGCCUCUUUGUCGAAAACGCUUCUUCAUUUUUUCCUUCAAAUCUUGGGUAAACAUGUGAUUCAUUUUAAGUGUUUUUUAAGUGUUGAAUCUUGAAUGAGGUAGAUACUAAUAUGUUUUGAAGUUUAGUAUAUGCACGAGUAAAUUUUCUUGACUGCAAAAAAAAAGAUAAUUUUGCUAAAGCUGUGCAAGAUGGACAUACAAAUUUUUAUUUUAGUGAUUUGUUUAAUUAAGCGUUUUUUUAAAUUGGCAUAUGAAGUUGGAGUUUAUUUAUAUACCAUGUAUAUAUUUCCAUUUGACCCUGCUCUUCAUUUUCAUUCGAUUCACUUAUGGUUAAUGUACUAAAUGAUGAUAGUAAGUUUUGAAUACCAAAUACUCCCUCUGUAAACUUUUAUAAGACGUUUUAGGUCACUAUUUGGAGCAGAGGGACUACAUCUCAAUGCGUAGUGUUAUUUUGUUUAUUCCCCCUCCACCUUUUUUAAGUAGUAAAUUUUGGUUAGUUAUAGUUUUGAUAUUUCCCAAGAAAAAAUAAUAUUUAAUAACUGAAUAUGGAAACAUGUCCGAUUGCAUUGCACAUAAAAAAUAUAACAAUGUCCCAAUGCUCUCACUAUUGUUUUGCAGUUAGUAAUUAGUUUGAAGAAUCAGAUAUCACAUAAUAUAGAUUGUUGAUGUUUUGUAGAACCGAACAAUUUCUAGCAAAUGUUGAUUCAUGUUUGCAAUACUUUGCCAUGUUUGGGGACCAUAUUCGUCCUGCCAUAUGAUAUUAGCACAAUGAAAUCAGUUUAUAUUUUUUAUAUAGUGUGCAUUGUACUAAGGUUUUAUAUAUGUAAUUCUUAUGUAAUAUGUUGAAUGUAGCGACCCGACCUCAGACGGUCAAGUCUCUAUGCUUAAGUGUCAUCCCUGGAUCGGUAUGCUGACACACACAGUACUCGAGGAUUUAUAACAGAGUGCAAUCACACACUUAUUACAUUGAUAGUCUGAAAAGAGAACUUAUUACAAUAAUAUGGCUUAAGGCCAUCUAAAUAAGAUAAUAGCAGAGGGCUUCGAAGAUAAAGUGAGUCCAUCAACUCCAACGACAUAGUUAAGUGCACGACAACGACCUAGCGCACCUUACUCUUCGUCUGAAAAGUCUGCAACAUAAUACGUUGCAGCCCGAAAAUGGGUCAGCACAAGGAAUAUGCUGGCAAAAUAACACUGUAGAGCAAUGAACAUGUAAC